CGGCGGACGGGUGAGUAACACGUGGGUAACCUACCUAUAAGACUGGGACAACUUCGGGAAACCGGAGCUAAUACCGGAUAAGAUAUCGAACCGCAUGGUUCGAUAGUGAAAGAUGGUUUUGCUAUCACUUAUAGAUGGACCCGCGCCGUAUUAGCUAGUUGGUGAGGUAACGGCUCACCAAGGCAACGAUACGUAGCCGACCUGAGAGGGUGAUCGGCCACACUGGAACUGAGACACGGUCCAGACUCCUACGGGAGGGCAGCAGUU
Molecule: ribosomal RNA, 267 nt
Filed under: uncultured Staphylococcus sp.
Lineage: Bacteria; Bacillati; Bacillota; Bacilli; Caryophanales; Staphylococcaceae
Description: partial 16S ribosomal RNA
Rfam family: Bacterial small subunit ribosomal RNA
Source: RNAcentral